RNAcentral lists this ribosomal RNA (68 nucleotides) under Phocaeicola vulgatus. Its description in RNAcentral is "Bacteroides vulgatus partial 16S ribosomal RNA". The record is from RNAcentral. Lineage: Bacteria; Pseudomonadati; Bacteroidota; Bacteroidia; Bacteroidales; Bacteroidaceae.
AUUUUUACAAUGAAGAGUUUGAUCCUGGCUCAGGAUGAACGCUAGCUACAGGCUUAACACAUGCAAGU